This 25-nucleotide small nuclear RNA is filed under the name Arabidopsis thaliana (thale cress). RNAcentral's name for it is "snRNA_10933". Lineage: Eukaryota; Viridiplantae; Streptophyta; Magnoliopsida; Brassicales; Brassicaceae. The record is from RNAcentral.
UAUAUAAUAAUAAUGCUUGUAAUCC